Molecule: long non-coding RNA, 520 nt
Filed under: Vigna radiata
Lineage: Eukaryota; Viridiplantae; Streptophyta; Magnoliopsida; Fabales; Fabaceae
Description: long non-coding RNA (VRAD_LNC014276)
Source: RNAcentral
GGGCGCGAAAACUUAAGUUAGGGGUGCUGGAUUUGAGUACGACACAAAAUGGAAAGGGGAAAGCGUGUGUGAAAUAGGGGUUUUACCCUAAUCAAGGUCAAAGGCUAAUUUAGCCAUUUUAAAACUUUGGAGGUACAGAAACAAAAAUAUGGAGUACAGGAAGAAAUCCCCAAAACAAAAUGAAACUGAAGAAAGAAAACAUACUUCGAGGGAGCGUUCCUCCCUCUACCACCACCACCACAUGCCAUCUUUCUAUUUCUCUUUUCUAAUAUUCAAUGUAGUAGUUAAAAAUUUUAACUUUUUUUUAACUUUCAACCACUUCAUUAAUACUCUCCUCAAUAUAUAAAUGUACCCCUACACUCCAAUCAUUCCAAUGAAAUCAAAUUCCUCUUCUUUUUAUUCUCUCCUCCAAUAUAUGAAUGCAUCCUUAUUUCCAUAGAAAUCAAAUUCAUUUUCUUUUCCCUGUACCAGUUCUCCUUUAGAAAUAAAACAAUUCAAAACAAAAUCAAUUAUUUUUAAU